AUUGAACGCUGGCGGCAGGCCUAACACAUGCAAGUCGAACGAGUGGCGGAAGGGUGAGGAAUGUCUGGGAAACUGCAUGAUGGCGGGGGAUAACUACUGGCAACGGUCGCUAAUACCUCAUACCAUCAGAUGUGCCCAGAUGGGAUUAGCGAGUCAGUGGGGGAAAGGCUCACAUGGGCGACGAUCCCUAGCUGGUCUGAGAGGAUUACCAUCCACACUGGAAGUGAGACACGGGCCAGACGCCUACGGGAGUCAGCAGUGGGGAAUAUGGCACAAGGGGCGCAAGCCUGAUGCAGCCAUGCCGCGUGUAUGAAGAAGGCCUUCGGGUUGUAAAGUACUUUCAGCGGGUAGGCGUUACCCGCAGAAGAAGCACCGGCUAACUCCGUGCCAGCAGCCGCGGUAAUAC
Molecule: ribosomal RNA, 406 nt
Filed under: uncultured bacterium
Lineage: Bacteria
Description: partial 16S ribosomal RNA
Rfam family: Bacterial small subunit ribosomal RNA
Source: RNAcentral